GAUGAACGCUGGCGGCGUGCCUAAUACAUGCAAGUCGAGCGAACAGACGAGGAGCUUGCUCCUCUGACGUUAGCGGCGGACGGGUGAGUAACACGUGGAUAACCUACCUAUAAGACUGGGAUAACUUCGGGAAACCGGAGCUAAUACCGGAUAACAUGUUGAACCGCAUGGUUCAACAGUGAAAUACGGUUUUGCUGUCACUUAUAGAUGGAUCCGCGUCGCAUUAGCUAGUUGGUAAGGUAACGGCUUACCAAGGCAACGAUGCGUAGCCGACCUGAGAGGGUGAUCGGCCACACUGGAACUGAGACACGGUCCAGACUCCUACGGGAGGCAGCAGUAGGGAAUCUUACGCAAUGGGCGAAAGCAUGACGGAGCAACGCCACGUGAGUGAAGAAGGUCUUCGGAUCGUAAAACUCUGUUAUUAGGGAAGAACAAAUGUGUAAGUAACUAUGCACGUAUUGACGGUACCUAAUCAGAAAGCCACGGCUAACUACGUG
RNAcentral lists this ribosomal RNA (497 nucleotides) under uncultured bacterium. RNAcentral describes it as "partial 16S ribosomal RNA". It matches the Rfam family "Bacterial small subunit ribosomal RNA", at positions 28 to 507 of the family's 1533-position model. The record is from RNAcentral.